GCGCAAGAAACGACCAAUGAGAGCGCGGCAUGCAAAUUAGGAAUUCGCUCGGGCAGAGAUCUGAAUGUCAACUAGUCAAAGAUGGAGUCUUAACGUUUUUUGGGAAAGGCCGCGAAGCGCGCGCGCAGGACCAGAGAGCGCGCGCGGGGCAGAUAUAUAUAUUUUUUUACUACGUUUGUGUUUUGUUUUGUUUUUUAUUUAAACUUGUUUUCCGAACUGGACCCGUGUGGAGAAGAUAUUUGAAUGAUAAUAUGGAAAGGCUGGUUUUUAUUUAUAUAACAUAUAUGCGGUGGAGAAAAGAGGAACAAACAGGCCUAGAAGACGCUCGAGGGUUUUUUUUAACACCUUCUGGUCAACUUUUCUUCUUCUUCUUCUUCUCUUGGUUUUUCUUCUUCUUCUUCUUCUUCUUCGCUGUCUCCCGUUGACAGGGAGGCCGUGUCCUAAAUCACACCCUUAUCCAAGCGCAGUGUUGGGUGUACAUUGUGAAGCUACUAGUUUAGUCCGGGUUAGUACGCGGUUUCGGAGGCGCUCACGGGUUUGUUUCGGUGGCGUUUCUGUUAGUACGCUUUCGGACGGAGCCGCGGUCGUGUCCCUCCCUAGUUAGGCAGCCUAUCAUUCAUGACAGUGUUUUAGGAGGGUGUGGGAGGGAGGGAGAAUUCACUUGGCCCUGUGUGCGCGAGCACGGUACACGUUUUUUGGAGCGGGAAUGGCGGGACCAUGCUGCUAAAACACACUCGGUACGAAUCCCCCCCAAAAAUAUGCUCGAAAAACAUGUCACUUAGACGUGCAUGGAGUUUUUCUUUCAACAAAACCUAGACGCUUUUAUUUGGUGCGUAUUGCAUGGGUUUUUUUUGUUUUGUUUUGUUUUUGGUUUUUUUUCAAUAUUUUAAUAAUAAUAAUAAUAUACAAGGGGACGAAAAAUCGUUGUAUUUGUAGAUGUGUUGUGAUCAGAGUUGCUCAGGAAUGUAAACCGCUGUGAGUCCAUUGGCUCGCGACAGCACGGAGUUACAGGAUUGGCUGGAGAAACGGCGGGGGCCCCGAAGCACGAGCCCUGUCUUCGUCCGUUGCCCUUUUUCUGUUGUACUACUGUGAGCGUCCAGAAGAGCAGUGCAAUAUUAAAAGGGCAUUGGCUGGAAGAUCAGAGACCUCCAAAUCCUCCAUAUUGCCGUGACCUUUCACCUCUGUGUGCUUUGACACGGUCGAGCACGUGGAAGUACAGUGAGGGACUGGAGGAGGAGUGUGGGGGGGG
Ictalurus punctatus (channel catfish) is the source of this 1249-nucleotide long non-coding RNA. NCBI's taxonomy places the organism in Eukaryota, Metazoa, Chordata, Actinopteri, Siluriformes, Ictaluridae. The record is from Ensembl.